AGGACGAACGCUGGCGGCGUGCUUAACACAUGCAAGUCGAACGGAAAGGCCCUUCGGGGUACUCGAGUGGCGAACGGGUGAGUAACACGUGGGUGAUCUGCCCUGCACUUCGGGAUAAGCCUGGGAAACUGGGUCUAAUACCGGAUAUGACCAUGGGAUGCAUGUUUCGUGGUGGAAAGCUUUUGCGGUGUGGGAUGGGCCCGCGGCCUAUCAGCUUGUUGGUGGGGUUAAGGCCUACCAAGGCGACGACGGGUAGCCGGCCUGAGAGGGUGACCGGCCACACUGGGACUGAGAUACGGCCCAGACUCCUACGGGAGGCAGCAGUGGGGAAUAUUGCACAAUGGGCGCAAGCCUGAUGCAGCGACGCCGCGUGAGGGACGACGGCCUUCGGUUGUAAACCUCUUUCAGCACAGACGAAGCGCAAGUGACGGUAUGUGCAGAAGAACGGACCGGCCAACUACGUGCCAGCAGCCGACGGUAA
This 481-nucleotide ribosomal RNA is filed under the name uncultured bacterium. RNAcentral's name for it is "SSU rRNA". It matches the Rfam family "Bacterial small subunit ribosomal RNA", at positions 26 to 523 of the family's 1533-position model. The record is from RNAcentral.